This 489-nucleotide ribosomal RNA is filed under the name uncultured bacterium. RNAcentral's name for it is "partial 16S ribosomal RNA". It matches the Rfam family "Bacterial small subunit ribosomal RNA", at positions 29 to 507 of the family's 1533-position model. The record is from RNAcentral.
AUGAACGCUAGCUACAGGCUUAACACAUGCAAGUCGCGGGGCAGCAUGGGGGUUGCUUGCAACUCCCGAUGGCGACCGGCGCACGGGUGAGUAACGCGUAUCCAACCUGCCCUUCACCACGGGAUAACCCGGCGAAAGUCGGACUAAUACCGUAUGUUGUCCAUUGACGGCAUCCGAUUUGGACGAAAGGCUUUGCGGUGAAGGAUGGGGAUGCGUCCGAUUAGCCAGACGGCGGGGUAACGGCCCACCGUGGCUACGAUCGGUAGGGGUUCUGAGAGGAAGGUCCCCCACACUGGAACUGAGACACGGUCCAGACUCCUACGGGAGGCAGCAGUGAGGAAUAUUGGUCAAUGGGCGUAAGCCUGAACCAGCCAAGUAGCGUGCAGGAUGACGGCCCUAUGGGCUGUAAACUGCUUUUAUGCGGGGAUAAAGUGGCCCACGUGUGGGCUUUUGCAGGUACCGCAUGAAUAAGGACCGGCUAAUUCCGUG